UACGAGGGGGGCAAGCGUUGUUCGGAAUGAUUGGGCGUAAAGGGCGCGUAGGCGGUUAGGAAAGUCUUGUGUGAAAUCUUCAGGCUCAACUUGAAGGCUGCACAUGAAACUGCCGGGCUUGAGUAUGGGAGAGGUGAGUGGAAUUUCCAGUGUAGCGGUGAAAUGCGUAGAGAUCGGGAGGAACACCUGUGGCGAAGGCGGCCACCUGGACCAUGACUGACGCUGAGGCGCGAAAGCGUGGGGAGCAAACAGG
RNAcentral lists this ribosomal RNA (253 nucleotides) under uncultured bacterium. RNAcentral describes it as "partial 16S ribosomal RNA". It matches the Rfam family "Bacterial small subunit ribosomal RNA", at positions 524 to 776 of the family's 1533-position model. The record is from RNAcentral.